Long non-coding RNA from Oncorhynchus keta (chum salmon), 893 nucleotides. RefSeq lists it as uncharacterized. The record is from RefSeq and is a predicted model, not a curated record. The transcript has 7 exons. NCBI's taxonomy places the organism in Eukaryota, Metazoa, Chordata, Actinopteri, Salmoniformes, Salmonidae.
GUUCUGACAGAGAGGUGAGGAACAGGUCUAUCUUCUGUCUCAUCUCACACCGUUCUGACAGAGAGGUGAGGAACAGGUCUAUCUUCUGUCUCAUCUCACACCGUUCUGACAGAGAGGUGAGGAACAGGUCUAUCUGUCUCAUCUCACACCGUUCUGACAGAGAGAGGUGAGGAACAGGUCUAUCUGUCUCAUCUCACACCGUUCUGACAGAGAGAGGUGAGGAACAGGUCUAUCUGUCUCAUCUCACACCGUUCUGACAGAGAGGUGAGGAACAGGUCUAUCUGUCUCAUCUCACACCGUUCUGACAGAGAGGUGAGGAACAGGUCUAUCUGUCUCAUCUCACACCGUUCUGACAGAGAGAGGUGAGGAACAGGUCUAUCUGUCUCAUCUCACACCGUUCUGACAGAGAGAGGUGAGGAACAGGUCUAUCUUCUGUCUCAUCUCACACCGUUCUGACAGAGAGAGGUGAGGAACAGGUCUAUCUGUCUCAUCUCACACCGUUCUGACAGAGAGGUGAGGAACAGGUCUAUCUUCUGUCUCAUCUCACACCGUUCUGACAGAGAGAGGUGAGGAACAGGUCUAUCUUCUGUCUCAUCUCACACCGUUCUGACAGAGAGGUGAGGAACAGGUCUAUCUUCUGUCUCAUCUCACACCGUUCUGACAGAGAGGUGAGGAACAGGUCUAUCUUCUGUCUCAUCUCACACCGUUCUGACAGAGAGAGGUGAGGAACAGGUCUAUCUUCUGUCUCGUCUCACACCGUUCUGACAGAGAGAGGUGAGGAACAGGUCUAUCUUCUGUCUCAUCUCACACCGUUCUGACAGAGAGGUGAGGAACAGGUCUAUCUGUCUCAUCUCACACCGUUCUGACAGAGAGGUGAGGAACAGGUCUAUCUG